Molecule: long non-coding RNA, 1047 nt
Organism: Oncorhynchus tshawytscha (Chinook salmon)
Lineage: Eukaryota; Metazoa; Chordata; Actinopteri; Salmoniformes; Salmonidae
Source: Ensembl
GGCAAAACUGGGUCCAUGCCAGUGUUCCUUGCAUCUCCCACUUUGCACGAGUUCAACGUAUAUGUGGUGGUUAACAGAGCGUUCUUUAGCUCUAGUUGGUCUUUUUGUUGUAGAAAUUAAUCUCGUGUUUUCUCUAAUGCCAAAAUAAGAGCUUCAUCCACACAUUGUGUAGCCUCUUCUUAGAAAUCUAUUGCGCUUCCCCGCUGCUUUUCGUAGAUAGUCCUCAUGGGAGCGGCACGUGGGUCAUUCUUGGGCUCAGGAGUGGGAACCAGUGUGUCGAGUGUGCGGGCUUGCUAUAGGCGAGCCCACAACGGUUUGGUGCAACGUGGCCCAUCCUGUUCUGCUGAAUCGGCAACGGGACCUGUCCUGGAUGGUCGCCCACGAGAUCCUCCCGGUCAGGGCCGUUAUGCACUCCCGGGGCAUGGCGAGGACAUCCGCGUGCCCCCGACCACGUUACGGCCAAGAUGAGUUGGUGAGGCACUUGCUCUGGGAGUGCAGAGCCGCCAGGGACCUGUGGAAGGAAUCAGGCCCCCUGAUCUCCCCGUGUCUGCCAGCAGGGGAGGACCUAAUGCCCCAGCUCGUGCUGUAUGGGGUGGGCCGAAAGGCCUAUUCCACCGAAGGCCUUCACCCAAGCUCUGGCCCACACUCACAUGUCUGAAGGAUGCACUGCGGUCCUCCCGCAACCUGCUGGUAGACCACCCCCAGGCAGUGGCCAUGGUAGCCACGGAAGCCCUGUUGUGGUACAGAAGAAAUGGGGCCUCGACCCCAGAUGAAGGGUCCCCCACAACACCCAAGGUCCCGGCGGCCACGGCACCAAGGGCGAUGCCCCUAGGGGAGGCAUCUGCUCUGGGCCCCGAAGGACAGGACGGUAAUUGAUUCAGAAGAGCAGGAGGAGGCGAGUUUGAUAAGGACUCACCCUGUUCCUGUACAAAGGACGGAAGACAGCUUUUUAACAUGUUUUCCAUAUCUUAAAAAUAUUUUACCUUUGUUAAAUAAUUUGUGCACAUUUUAAAUGGCUUUUACAAGAAAAUGUACUUUUAUUGAUGG